This 220-nucleotide ribosomal RNA is filed under the name uncultured eukaryote. RNAcentral's name for it is "partial 18S ribosomal RNA". It matches the Rfam family "Eukaryotic small subunit ribosomal RNA", at positions 1299 to 1458 of the family's 1831-position model. The record is from RNAcentral.
UGGUGGUGUGAGUUGUCUGGUUGAUUCCGUUAACGAACGAGACCUUUGUUGUAUAAUAGGAGGCACUAGUAUGAGCGUAAAAGGGCACGCGUUGGGACUUGCUGGGUCGCGAGCAAUCGCCCCCGGCAAGCAUUCCGCGCUGCUUGCUGAGCUAGUAGUCAGCGUCCUUCUAUACAAGACAAAUAACAGAAAAUAGUAUUGGAAGUUAUAGGCAAGAACA